CAGUAGCCGCGGGAAAACGUAGGUGGCAAGCGUUAUCCGGAAUUAUUGGGCGUAAAGCGCGCGUAGGCGGUUUUUUAAGUCUGAUGUGAAAGCCCACGGCUCAACCGUGGAGGGUCAUUGGAAACUGGAAAACUUGAGUGCAGAAGAGGAAAGUGGAAUUCCAUGUGUAGCGGUGAAAUGCGCAGAGAUAUGGAGGAACACCAGUGGCGAAGGCGACUCUCUGGUCUGUAACUGACGCUGAGGAGCGAAAGCGUGGGGAGCGAACAGGAUUAGAUACCCCCGUAGUCCCUGUCUCUUAUAC
This 301-nucleotide ribosomal RNA is filed under the name uncultured bacterium. RNAcentral describes it as "partial 16S ribosomal RNA". It matches the Rfam family "Bacterial small subunit ribosomal RNA", at positions 509 to 807 of the family's 1533-position model. The record is from RNAcentral.